RNAcentral lists this long non-coding RNA (3610 nucleotides) under Monomorium pharaonis (pharaoh ant). Its description in RNAcentral is "uncharacterized LOC118644551". The record is from RNAcentral. Lineage: Eukaryota; Metazoa; Arthropoda; Insecta; Hymenoptera; Formicidae.
UUCCGUUAAAAAAUGGAUUAUCUUGAUAAGAGAUAAAAUAAUUUAAAAAAUAUUUUUUAAAAAUUGAUUUAAUUUUUAAAAUUGAUUUUACACUAUUAUUUGUCCCCCUUCACAGAAUAUACAGAUACAACUUUUGUUAAAAAAUUUUUUUUCUAAAACGCAUUAUUUUCUUUAUAGAAAUUUAAGCAUGUUUUUUUGACGGGACACGCUGUAUAACACUAACAACUUUCACAAGUAUCUCAUAAUUUGUUCCUUUUAUGAUUUCUCUUCUCGUAAUAUAUGCAGAUUUUAUCUGUCAGUGACUCCUUUCAACGGCCCAAUUUGUAUAACUUAAGCCUUUAGCACACGAUACGAUUUUUCAUGCUGGAUCGCAUACGAGACAUCUUAUUACGUGCCCUGAUUGGCUCGAAUGAUUAUAUUACCAAUCGUAACCCAAUCGUACAAUAACAAGACGCCUCGUAUUUGUGUUAGCAUAAAAAAAUUGUAUCGUGUUGCCGAAAGCUUUACUCAGCUUUAAUUCGAUCGAGCGAAUUAUACAAAUCCAUCGCGCGCCACGCUCUUUUUCUUUCAUUGCCAUUCAGCGCCGAUUGAAUUUCUGUUCCUUAGAACCGGGGUAUGCACCAGCUGCGCUCUAAAGUAGUUCAAUGUUGUACACGAAAUGAUGAGUUGCUUUCUUCGUUUCACGCAAUCGGACUCUACUUUGUUCCUAAUGUCUACGUUCAUACUUUCAUUCGGAGUAUAAUCAGCGUCCACGAUCGAACCGCAGUUCUUCGCGGUGGCGAUCGAAGUUGCGCGAAUUUCCGAUUACUUUUCCGCGCCAGCCGUAAUUUCUCGAUUACUGCCACGGGGAAGGGAGAGGUACGGGAUAGACGCGCACCGUUACUAAAUUCGAAGUUUAGCGACGACGAACUUCCACCCGCACCGCAUAGUUGCAUGCAACCUCGAGGUAAUAUGGUAUAGCCCGCAGAGUAACGGGGCGGUCGGGACAAUUUCUUGAGAGACACUUUGACGAGUUAAUCCGCGGAAUGUCUGAGAGCACCCUCGCGGUGCAAUAAAUUCUCUAGCUGCGAGGAUUUAUCGAGACGCGGAAAGUAUGAACUCCCUCUCAUCGCACUCAUUCGCUCGCGCCCGGUACCGUCGAGAAUUUCCGCGGAGAUUAAGACAUUUUAGAGCGUCAUUAUCUCUAGUCCACGGAGUUGUGGACGCUUUCACGAGGCGUCCGAAUUUAAUUCUGAAGUUUACGUAUGGUAUCUUUCGAUUUGCAAAGAAGACGGAGAGAGAACUGUUAGAAAUCAGGCGUUUUCUUUUAUCAAUGCCGAUUUAUCCCUCGCGCGGUAUAAUAUUUAAUCCUUGAGUUCCUAAAAAAAUAUUAUACUUUAUGCAACCCCUGAUAGAAAUCUAAAAAUAUUUGAAGUGAUUAAAAGCUCGCAGAAAAAACGUAAAGCGUUUGUAGAUCAACAAAACAUCAUAAUAUUUGCACAUUUUUUGUAAAUGUUAAAAUAAAAACGCUCCACAAGCUUUCAACAUUUUUUGUAAUAAUGGUAUCGCAACCGAGACGAUAUGCGAUAUUAAAUUGAAAACAAACAUAAAACUCGAAUCAAAAUAUCAACACUCGAAUUGUUCGGGGAGAAGUAAUGAGUCAUUCAUUCGUCGUACAUAUCCUGGGGGGGAAUCCGAAACGGUCGCUGCGGUCCGGACCGUCGAAACUUCCGCGUCCGGCAGAAGUAGAGUGUUUCCGGUGGGCGAGGGGGAGACAAACUAAGUGAUUUCGUAUUGCUGCGUGCAACUCCCUCGGGUAGUUUUGACUAGCGAUCCUAGAGCGUGCGGAGUUAUGUGGCACCGUGUCUCAUGGUGCUUACGUAUAGAUCGAAUGAGUCGGCGCGCCGAGCAACAGUAGUGCGCGCUUGAUCGGAGGAUGAUCGGCCCGGGCGUCUUCCAUCACCGAUUCAAUACCGCGGGAAACUUCAUUCUACUCCAACGUACCAUUUAGCGGUUUACACCCGAGAGUUUACGACCUUAUUCUGCGUCUGCCAUCACCGAAAUCCAUGUAACGCAGCCCUUUCUCGUCCCUAUCGCCGCUCGACGCCAACAAGAUAGUGGCAGCGUUAUGGUAAACGUUAAGAUGCAAGAUAUUGGCACGGUUCAUAAAUAGAUUUACCGUCAUAAAGAUUAAUUGUGCCUAAUAUUCGCGACGGUAUAUGCGGGUCAGUUGUUUUAGGUGAGGCGAACGUCCGGAUAAUCCACGGAUCGCUCUGCUCAGUUCUGAAGUGGUCGAUUUAUUAUUAUGCAUGUCUAGUCAAGUGUAUAGCCGCAUAGCUAUACACAAUCAAGUUUCGAUAACGUAAAAAUUAUUAUUAACGGAAGAAUUUCAAUUUAGACAGAAUAGGAUGAAUUUAAAAGAUUGAUUGAAAAGCGUAUUUCAGUUAUGAAAAGAUAUUAAGAAGAACGGCAUACAAAGUCGUGAGUUAAUUCAUGAAAUAAUAAAAUGUGUACAUAACACUAUUGCAUUAACGGCAGGUAGGUUUAACAAUUCAAACCGGAGUAACGGACUUGAAAUAACAUUCAGAGUUUGUCUCGAUUUCACGUCGAUUCGUCGGGACACAGUGGUAGUUUCUUACUAACGCGAAGCCAAGCAAAAUAAAGAGCCCCGGAGUUUACUUUUCGUUCAAAUUACUCGGCGGAGCUUUACGCGCGCGCGCCGAACAAGUUUCGCGAAGAUAAACCCACGGAAAUUGUCCGGUAGUUUUUAAAAGUCAAGACGAACGAACUGUCAGAGACAACGAAGUUGACCUAAAUACACUCUUCAGGUUUUUAGAUUUCAUCAUGGCGCACCGCGGUCGAUCUCUUGUUUUCGAUUAAUAUUAACUUAGCGCUAAAUAAAGAUUUCCCACGAAGGGCGUCAACCAUGAAUAAUUCAUUCUAUUCUGCACCAUAUCGCCGAAAUAAUUACUCGUUUUAAACUCUCGUCGUUGCAUCGUUAUUAAACAAAUAACAAUAGCUUACAAAAUUCGGCUUAAAUUUUGUACUAACGUCACUUGCGAUGUUCAAUUUGCGACGCUUAAAUUGUAUCGUAAUUUAAUACCACGAUAAUCUAUAAAUUAAUAAUGUACAAAAAAUUUCAGGUGUGGCUAACCAUCGCUGCGCAACCUGCCGAUCAUACUGCUUAUUUUCCUAGAGGGAUAGAAAUAUGCUUAUUUUCCUAGAGAGGGAAAUCAAUUCCGCUUUAGAGCGCACUCGCUUCGCUCCGAACUUCGAGCCCUUAUCUGAUGCGGGCGAACCGCUCUUCAGGUAGAAACACUCGGACGUUCCCUUCAUAAAUCAAUUCAUAAACUUGGACGGUGCGUGCUACAUCGGUCGCUAAGUGGAAGAAAACGAACAUUUUAUAAAAGUGGAUUAUUCACAUCUCACCGAGGCAUUAAUUAUUUUUCCGCGGCAAAGAUAUUCGUUGAGGCUAAUUAAUAUUUACCGCGCAUCUGGAAGUUUUCGCUCCGCCGUGCGAUGUCCGCUCAAAAUUCGUUUCAAGCCACGCCUCUCGUAUGUCGCGUACCUUAUUAAUUCAUUAAUAAAACGAUAUUAUCCUGUAAAUGUAGAAAUAUAUGUAUAUAUAUAU